RNAcentral lists this transfer RNA (69 nucleotides) under Ogcocephalus nasutus (shortnose batfish). RNAcentral's name for it is "tRNA-Pro". It matches the Rfam family "tRNA". Rfam says of the family: Transfer RNA (tRNA) molecules are approximately 80 nucleotides in length. Their secondary structure includes four short double-helical elements and three loops (D, anti-codon, and T loops). RNAcentral also lists the same sequence under 2 other names. Lineage: Eukaryota; Metazoa; Chordata; Actinopteri; Lophiiformes; Ogcocephalidae. The record is from RNAcentral.
CAGAGAGUAGUUAAAUUAGAACGGUGGUCCUGGGAACCAUUGGCGGGGGUUUGAUUCCCUCCUCUUUGA